GGCGUGGCCGAGUGGUAAGGCAACGGGUUUUGGUCCCGUCGUUCGAAGGUUCGAAUCCUUUCGUCCCAGA
RNAcentral lists this transfer RNA (70 nucleotides) under Orchidantha fimbriata. RNAcentral's name for it is "tRNA-Cys". It matches the Rfam family "tRNA". From Rfam's summary of the family: Transfer RNA (tRNA) molecules are approximately 80 nucleotides in length. Their secondary structure includes four short double-helical elements and three loops (D, anti-codon, and T loops). Further hydrogen bonds mediate the characteristic L-shaped molecular structure. tRNAs have two regions of fundamental functional importance: the anti-codon, which is responsible for specific mRNA codon recognition, and the 3' end, to which the tRNAs corresponding amino acid is attached (by aminoacyl-tRNA synthetases). tRNAs cope with the degeneracy of the genetic code in two manners: having more than one tRNA (with a specific anti-codon) for a particular amino acid; and 'wobble' base-pairing, i.e. permitting non-standard base-pairing at the 3rd anti-codon position. RNAcentral also lists the same sequence under 1 other name. Lineage: Eukaryota; Viridiplantae; Streptophyta; Magnoliopsida; Zingiberales; Lowiaceae. The record is from RNAcentral.